CAAGAAGAUGAUCACAAUUAUCACUUGAGUAACCCGUUGGGAUUCGUCGCAAUCCAAUACGAUUAGGCCUUCUACAAUUUCCUCCGGGCUCCAUAAUCAAUGACUGACCCACUUCACAUGCCCACUUUCCUCAUUUUAGCAUUUGGUGAUUAGAGCUUUGGAAACAAGUGAGAGAUUUUAAACCACGUGGCGUCCAGGGAAAACAAGAAAGAAGAUUGUAUAAAAAACUCCAACUUGAGGCAGCGCGUGUAUAAAUUUCAACGAGUGGCUGCUAAGCCUCCAUGAGCUCUCUUCAGCAGCAGCGCACGCAAAAACUCACUCACCCAACGCUACUCAAGUAGCAAGAGGAGGAAGAAGGGGAGGUAGAAGAUGGAUGCUCAACCGCCAGCGCCGAGGCCCCAUCCAGCCCCUGCCUUCGGCAACCAACCACCUCCAAGAGGCAGCGUCAUCAAGAAAAUCAUCUCCGGCCAGAAAUGAAACUGCUAUGAUCUUUAAGCUUCUUUAUCCUUGGGGGAGGUGUAAUUAGGUUUUCGAUCAUGUGAAAUACACGACUUCUAUCCUGUCUUGUCAGGAAUGUGUAGUUAGUAUAAUGAGGUUGCUGUACAUAUUAUAAAGGGAAUGCUGGAAUGGCCUAGAUCUGAGAUCUAGUACAUACAUGGUGUUUCCCUGAUGUCAAAUGUAAUCAAGAUCCUCCCCCAAAUUAAGCUUGUGAUGUUUUUACAGGGUAGGCAUAUUUCCAGGUAAUUCUCAUACCCGCUUGCGCUAGCAAAUAGAUCUCGGGUUCCUCUUGUGCUUUCGUACCGUUUAUGUCGUGCAUGUGCAGCACGCAUGUUCGUAUGUAUUUGCUUGUGCGCAGGGCAGGCAAGCGUGCUGAACGGGUAGAAUAAUCGGGUUGAAUUUCGAAGCAGGACUUCUAACCAGAAACCUCGUAUCAGCGGACUAUGAGUAUCAGCUUGAAUGUGUAUACUGACACGUCAAACCUCGUCGGAGGCUAAUGCCGAGAAGGAUCCUGAAUAAGCAACUCUUUGCUUGCAUAACUCAUCUCUGUUACUGUUGAUUAUUCAGGAUUUUUAACCAGAAACCUUGCAUAAGUGAACGACAAAUAUCAGCUCGAAUGUCUCUAUCAACGCAUCUAACAUCGCCGGAGGCUAAUGCCAAUAAGGGACUCCGGAUAAGCAACUCCUUUUCUGCAUAAUUUUUCUAUAUUAUUGUCAGUAUUGAUUAUUCUUUUUUUUUUCUUUUCUUGAGAAUUGUUAUGGAAAGAAAAUCUGACUUAGCUCUGAAAUUGGAGAUGAAGAUUUGAGCAUUAUUCAAUGCACCAGAUCAUGCAUGACCCACCAUGACAUGAGCGAUGAAGAUUUAUUUUUUUAUUUUUUUUAUCAGAGAGAGAUGAAGAAUGAGAUGAAGAUUGAGAUGAUAGUUUUUGGCAGAUAUUGACUGUCGCCAGUUGGAAAUUACUGCUUAAAUAAAAAAAAGUUAUCAGUCUAUGUCAAAGGAGUGUGAAUCCAACUAGUCUUUUUCUUAGAUUCGAUGGAUUAUGUGGUUAGUGCAGUGUUCUUUCAAGAGCUGUGUUCCGGAUCAUAAAAGCCGAUGCAGCAUCAUCAUUUGUCACUUCUAAUAUCCUGAAUACAUGAUUAUUAGAAACGAUAUUCGGAUAAUUUUUUUAGACGACAAGCGAAAUCCACUCGAUUGCCACGGUGUCUUUGUCACCGUGCGUUUUAAAGCAAAGAAGCUGCGUAUGACGGAGCGUCCGUGGGUUAACAGGCGAGACAAAAAGCAAUGCGAUGGGGGAUAUUGACGGAUGUCAUAAGCCGACCAAUUUAUACAUUAAACGACCGCCGUCGCUAGACAAACAUCGGGACGGUCACGCCUGCCUUUUCCAUAGAACUUAGCAUAAUUACCGCGUGAGCCUCCGGAGUCGAAGAAUUCCAGAUAUGUUGGACGAUAAUGAAAUGGGAGUUCAUCGACCAACUCCACGUGCCUAGCCAAGUAGAAAGAGGACAGGGGAAACAACCACCAAACAAAUUUGAAUCACAUGCACCAGAUGUACUUUUCCCACCGACAGCUCUUUAAAUUCACCAAGCGUGAUUGAUCGCCUUGGGAUUGUUGGAAUCUAUUGGGAUUCGAAUUGAUUUAGACAAGCAUGAGGGUCCAUCUAUAAGUGAGAAAACAACAUAUAUCAAAUCAAUAAAUCAAGAAUAUAAUCAAUUACAGCAUCCGAAUUCCAUAGGAUCUCAUCUGUUUUUUAGGGUUUUGUGUAGAUUUCUUUGAGAUGUGAUGGAUCGCUGCCCACUGUUCACAUUUUAGGGUUCGGUUUCAUUGAAUCUUGGCAUGGGAGUAGUUUAGCCUAGUAGAUUAGUGCCUGUGUUUUUGUCCUCCUUCUGUCUGCUUAAUUGUAAUUUGACAAGUUCCAUAUCUCGGAUCGAGUGUUGAUAUAAAAAUACACUUUUCAUAAUUAGGUGCUAACAGUUAUAUACUUCAUUUUCAUCCCAUCCUUUAUCUAGGGUUUCCAUGCAAUAAUAGAUUGGAGGAAUAUAUAAUACAUAUACAAGAUAUCAAAUUACUUUAUACGUAUUUUUCUUUCACUCAAGGGGCCACGUAUAGAUUAUCAGCUUUGCCAUUGUAUAGCUAAUCUAAAAUUAAGCAAAAGGACACAUCACGUACACAUAACAAGACUUGUGUAAUAUGAACUCUACACGAUAAGAUAUUUGCGUGUUACAUAAUUUUCAGAAGGUGUUGAAAAAUAUGAUUAUACGUUUGCAGAUUUGGACAGGUUUUAGACAUUCGUGCUGAAUGAAAACUAAAUAAAUUGAAGGGUCAUAUGCUUUAUAGAAGGUUAAAUAUUUGAAAUAGAGGACAGCACUAAAUGGAUGACACUAGAACAAUUAUUGUGAUAGCAAGUCUUUUGACCUAUUGAACCGUGGACCAUUCAGCGGUAUCGUCUUAUGGAUGGAUGAGGAAUUCAUUAUCCCAGCAAAAUCACAUUGGCGAAUUACUAUUUGGGAAUCACAUUGACUUUAAGCAAAGCCCACAAUUUUUUAUUAUUUAUUUAUUUGUUUUCUUUUUUAUUUUUGUAUGUCCGAACCACUAAUUUUGAGGUGAGACGACACUGAUUGGCUUCUUUUGAGUGGCUUUUGGCCAGCAAGUUGUGCUGUCUUCCCCUCCGAGGAAGAAAACUUCGGAAGCCAUCCUUCAACAAAGUCAAACGCCAUGAAAGGCACGUUUUUUGACAAGGUACUACAUUUCGUAUAUCAAAGGUCGGCCAAGACAUUAUUAGAGAGUAGUUAAUUUAGAUUUAGACGAUACGAGAUUUGUUUUGAUGGCAUCAUGGACUUUGAAGAUGGAUCGUGAUUAUCACUAGCCCUAAUUUAGAGGAAAAUAAAUAGUUCUAUUGUAUAAUGUUCGUACCUCUAGUGCAAAUAAUAUAAGCUCCCCAACCGGAAAAUGAAAAUAUAGAGUAAAAAUGAACUCGCUCGAUACCGUUUGUUUGGUGGAAAAUCGAUUAUUUUGAGAAAUUUUUUCUAAAUAGUUGUUUUUAAGGUUCAAAAAAAUGAACAGACAAAAAAACUUUUCACUAUGACAAAAAGUAUUAGCCAUAGAUUGUGAUUUAAAAUGACUAUUUCUUUUUUCUUUUUUUCUUUUUUUUUUUGUAAAUGAUGUGAAUGGUCAUGUUUAGAAAAGUAUUUUUUUUAGUCAUUUAUUUUUCACGAAAUGAAUUUGAAUAGAUUAGUUGAGAUCGUAAGGUGUGAUUUAUGUAUAGCCAACUCGUCAAAAAUUAAUGACGUUGGAAAAAACUGAGGACAUGACCUUGUAGAGGCCUAUCGUUAGCUGCCCAUUGACAAAAUAUAGAAGUGGAGAAGACACAAUGUUUUCAUAAAGGUCGACAGAAAUACAUAAUAUUUUGACAAUAAUUUGAAAAAGUCAACCAACAUGUCGAUGAAUUGACUUAAUCAAUAACAUUGAUUUCUAGGAUUCAAUUAUCACGUGUCAUCACAAAUAUAUAUAGUUCCGCGCAUGUUUGGUUGUGCAAAACCCCUAAAAAGAACACAAAGACAUGGUAAUUGAAUUUCAUGUUUGAUUCUAUUUGUAUGCUAGUGUUACUUCAAAAGAAGUACUCAUCCAAUGUGAUCGUGGCCCCAAAGACCUACCAUCCUAAGUGGAGUUGGACUGAUAUGGAUCCUUUUAAUAUAACAAAAUAAGGGCAUUUAUACCUUUUGAUACGAAUAAUUUACUUAGAUUCGAGUAAAUCUUAUUGUGAUAUGCAUAAUUUUAUAUUUAUAAAAUCAUUUUUACGGAGGAUGAGCAUGUAAAGAAUAUAUUGUUUUGGUGCAAAUUGAAGGGUUUGAAAGCUCAAAGGGUAGAAAAUGAAGGACUUCAAAAAUUAGGAGAUCACAAGUGUAAUUUUAGGGCAAAGCUCUGGUUAAAUUUUUGUAGUCAUCCACAAAGGAAUCUUCAUACUGUAGAACCAAAUAUUUUUUAUAUUCAUGUUGGGUCCUUUUCAACUUGGAUUUUUCAGGCUGGUAUGAUUUGAUAGAAUCAAAUCAAUCGACAAAAUGUGUAGCCUAGGGUAGCUACAAAAAAUAGGUCAGUCGCAUCUGGGACACUCGCUAUUCAGAAAGCACCCAAGUUUUCCCCCAAAGUAUACAUAAAUAAUUCACAAAAUUGAAUAUGUUGCUUUCUGACGUCAUAUGACUUGUAAAUGCCAUCAACAAAGGUAAUUUGGAUUUUUUUUUCCAAUUAUUCUACAUCUUUUAAAUCCAUUUUACUUAGAAAAAAGCAGAUUUUAUUCCUAAGAAAGAGAUAAAAAUCCUCAUCCAUGUCCACAUAUUUUACACUAAUUAAAAAAGUGAUACCCCAUCCACCGCGCAAUUCACUUAGACAAAGAGAUUUGGUCUCCGCAUACUAGGACAAAUGGAUCAUUAGGGUUCUUCUAAGUUUAAAAUAAAUAAAAACGUAAGAAACUGGAUAAGGAUGUUCAUUUGCCUCAGAUGCAACAACCUUAAUGCCACCAGCUGUUAUUCAAGUUUCAAUUAAAAAUCUAAUGAAAAAUUUAAAUAAUUAAUCGUGAUAAAUAUUUGUUUACUAAGAAAAUUGCAAAAUAAGUCUUUAAACCUAUAAUGAGGAUGCAAAUUUAGUCAUUUUUUAAUAAGUCUUGAACUCUUAUGUGAAAUUUUAAUAUAACCAUUUCAGUUAAUAUUCGUCAAAAUUGCUAACAUGGCUUACUAGUCAUCACUUGACGUCCCAACGUGACACAUCAUUAUAUUAACAAUUUUUAAAAAAUUAUUGAAAGGACUAUAUUGGAUCUUCACUCAAAGACUUAGAACAAUAAUUAACAAAAUUGAAAAUUUUAAAAUUGAAUCUACAAUCGUAAUACAAUAUAUAUAUAUAUAUGUGUGUGUGUGUGUGUGUGUGUGUGUGUGAGAGAGAGAGAGAGAGAGACUAAUGAGAUAACAUCAUCUUUAUUCAUCGCCACUCAAAUUGAGACUCCCUGCCUUUGAAAAAAAAUAUAUUAUUGCACAAAUCCACGAACGAAUCAACCUUAAAUCAUAUCCAUAUUGAUUCUUGAGUGUGAAAAAUGUCAUUAGCACCACUAUUCCACACCCACGUGCUUAUCUUAACUUCUGUGGAUAGCCCACCUUUCCCCAAAAGAAAUGCAAAAUUUGCGUCUCCAUUUGCGGCGGUUGACAAAAGAAAAAUGUGGAAACACACGAGGAGAUUAACCAAAGGGUUUGAUCCCUCUUUUUCUUAUUUAGUUAAUAAUUGGGAGGACUUCCAUGUGAACCCAGAUUAAUUCUUAAUUCUAGAAGUUUGAGAAGAGUGGCAAGUUGUAAUUGAUGAAAUAAUUGAAGACGUGGGUCGGACGCAGGUGCCCAAUAAAAUUCUUUUUUAUCACAUUUUUUUGAGAAAUUAAUUUUUUAAGUACAUCUUCAUUUGUCAUUUUAAAAAUGAAACGUGUCGAAUUUGCUGGCUUAAUUUAGAAAUUAAAAAGAUUUUUUUUUUUUUUGUAUAGUUAGAUCAUCCUUCCUCUAACCAAGAAGCGAUAACCAACAUGCCAUUGUCUUUAUCUAAGCUUAACCAAGUGGUUCCAAUUGACCUAUUUUUUCAUGUGCUUUUCUGGAGAUGAUACCGCAUUCCCUCCUCAAAACGUUUGGAUUUGAAAAGUCCAACCACCAAUCUAUUCCUAGAGAUGUAUUUUUCAAUUUUAUCUUAUUUAGUAUGUCGCUCUCAAAAUAAUGUCUAUGCAAACUCAACCGAAAGUGGUCCCAGAGGGAGAAAGAGAGUUACAAUAACUAAUUCAUCCCAUAGAUAGUCGAACGUAGAAGAAAUGGUGAUGACAAGUGAGAAAAGUGCACUAAAGAAAAUUGAAUUUUUCGCCAGAGUACUCAAAAAAAAAAUAUGGAAUUAACAAAAAAGAGAAGAAGACAAAGUGAACAAGGCGAGUCACGUGGUACGAUGUUGUCCCACAUGCUACUGUUUCUUUGCACGCUGGGAUAGCAUCACAUUUCAUCUAAGAUUAGUUAAUCUAUAUAAAUAGGCAAACCAAUGUGCUGUUUUCUUAAAAGGAGGCCAUUUUAGUAAACCCAUAAAAUCAUUGGUAAUUAUUGAGUGGAAUGGAGAGCUUUAAUGUUGCUAUGUCGUACAUGAUUUUCUCGUCAAAUGAGUAAAUGGUUUUCUUUUUCGAGCUCGUCAGCUGUUUAGUUGAAGUUGUUAGAUUUGGUGAUUUGGUAGGUGAAGUGAGUCCUUAAGAUCGUAGAAGGAUAGAAAUUUCUACAGUAUUUGGGUAUAGUGAGGCUCUAGCGAACAAGUUCUGCAAUAUCAACCGAUCAUUGAUCCUUAGGCCCAAGUAGAUAGGGCAAAUUUCAUCAACAUAGAUUUGCACACAAUCCCAACAGUAAGAAGCGAGGAAGGUCGGCAAUCUUGAAUUGGCAAUGCAUAAAUUACUCGGUGCCAUUCUUCCACCGCAUACAUGUACGACGCAUUCAUCGACUCGUCUUAAAUAUCCGUGGCUUCUCCCGAGCCGAGACACUAUAAAGGCAUUGAGCUGCUCAAAGUUCUGCACAAGUUUCUCGAAGAGCGAACAGGAAGGGAAUUCAAAACUUGAUCUGCAUUUAACUUUCUCAGUCCAAUUUACAUGUUCAGUGAGCAUGGGUUAGCACACAGAUCAACCGGAACAAAAACCUAAAAACUCAGCUUUUGCCCAAUUCUACUUUGGCACUCGCAGCAAAAAGCUGCGGAAGGAAUUAAAAGAAUCUGUACACUCUAUAAACGAAACUAAAGGAAAUGUGUGGAUGUCCCCGUUCAAGAGAAGAAACUAUCUUCGAUGCUUCAAUCUCUGCCAGCUAAGAUUCGUCUCCGCUUAUAGACUAAUUGGUACCGAUGCAACACUCCUUUGCAAGAUCCCAUUCUGUUUUCUCUUCCGAAACCCGUCUCUAAGCUUGCGCUUGUAACUUAAUCCGUAAAAUCUGCUCUGGUCCACGGAUCCAGCUACCUGCAACACGUAGCACGACGACCAAAAGUUUAACUUGAUGACUAGCCAUGAAGCUUUAAUCAGGUUAAAGGAGAUACAUAAGCCAGCAUCAAGGAGCAAUCAGGACCAACAUGCAUUUCACACCAUAGAACAUAGUCAAAACUUGAACAGUUCAGUCAAAGAUGAUGAAUGCAAAAACAUACCAGAGAUAAAAGGGCCGUACUCCCAGUGUCAUGGGAUGCUACAGAAGCCAAAACAAGAUUAGUAAGUAGAAGCAUAAGGUACAUGAAGUAAAGAAAUUAACUAGACGAAACUAGUUAGGGGAAGGCAUAAAUAAAAUUCUCAAAUAUAUACCCCUUGUCGCUUUGCAUAUAGAACGGUGAAGAUAUUUUUGUAUCAUUGUUGUCCCUGAAAGCCCAAGAGGGGAUAACCCAGUAGCUCUUGCAUAUCGGAAACAGGCAUCUCUGAAAAUCCAAAGGAUGCUUCCCAUGUUGUCCGCACUUUUUUUUUUUUUGGGUCAAUAAUAGUGUUUCAUUCAUUCCUUAAAAACGACGAGCUUUACAUGGAAGGGAUAAGUUGGAAUCAUAACACAAGAUAGUCCAAAGGGGAGUGGGUGGUUCUCGCUGCCAAUUUGAAGGAAGAAGUUUAAGGUGUUGUGCCUUUGCAACCCAAUCUACAGCAUGAUUGGCUUCUCUCGGGCAAAAGGUGACUCUUGCGUUGGUUAGUUGCGCCAAAAGUUCUUUGCAUUCCUGUACUUGGUCCUGCACAGCCCAUGGCGCUACUUCCCGGCCCAGAACGGAUUCGACAAGCGUGCGGCUAUCACUUUCACAAAGCCAACUCCUUCUCAAUUCAAGUACUUCCCCCACGUGACAAGCUUCCCUCUGUUUCAACAUGAUGGUUUUAUUAGUGAUGGGCUUAAGGCCCGUCCGCCCAAGUUGGGCCCAAAAAGCCCGGCCCACGGGAAUACGGCCCGUGGAUGGAGGGACAUAUAAAAGGAGGAGAGAGAGAGAGAACGUACCGGUUGAAGAAAACAGAAAGCAAACGUACGUCUUUUUCUUCUCACGCUCUCUCUCUCUCUCUCGCUUUUCUCUCUCAAAAGGAAAACAGUGAAGCACGAAGGCAAAUUUCCUUCACCGGAUCGAACAGGACCAAGUUUCUCUUCCUCUAUCAGCGUCGGUGUUUAAUCUGUGGCUUAAAAGGUACGCUCGAAUCCGUGGUGUACUUUAAGAUUGGUGAUACGUGUUGUUUUCCCGGACUCGUCUUCCGCAUUGAUUUAGGGGUUUGAUUUAGUGUCGAAUCCGCUUUUCGGGGAUCUGUUAUUCCCAAUAAUGGUAUCAGAGCCCUAGUUCACGUUUUCCCCACCUGUUUGAUUUUUUUUUUUAUUGAUUUUUCACGAAAGUAAUUCGGCCGUACGGAUCGGGGCGAGAAAUCCCGACACCCGAGCGUUGUUCGCCCAUUUUUCCGAGUUUUCGUAAGUCAAAAUCAAAUUCUGAUGGCAUAAGGUGGAAAGGGGUCGUCGAGACGAGUCUGGCGAUAUGUCGAACGCCGCCGGGAGAUGCCGCACACGCCCACACGCGCGGCCAGAAGCCGCUGCGCGUGGGCGCGACGCCGGCGGCGAACCGGCACGCGCUGGUCGGCAGACCGACGCGUGCUGACGUCACUCAACGGUCAGUAACCGCUAGGGUGACGUCAUCGAUGACGUCAGCACGACGAUGGUUGGCCCGGCGGUCACCGACCGGCGACCCGACCCGACCCAAACCGCGGAUGCCCGGCACGCGCGCGGCACGUGCCGUCGGUUCGCCCGAACCGGCCCGACCGGUCCGACGACCGACGACCUGACCGUUGACCGUUGACCCAAAAAAAAAAGAGGAAAAGAAUGUGUUUCUUUUUCAAUUAAGUCUAUGUGGAUUAUUUGUGAUCCCUUAUUUGUUCUGCAUUUGUUGCAGGAACAGUUCUGCAUUUGUUGCACGAACAAUGCCUCCCCUGAGGUUGCGCACACCUAUUUACGCAAUUACCGAUGAACAAAAGGAUAGGCUGUCUAAGUUGAUAGCUGAGCUGACUGAUCAUCGAUGGGAGAGUGGAGACUUAAUUGAUCAUGUCCUUGAGGUCAAUGGGAAGAUUCAACAGGUCAUAUGGAAUGGUCGUCCUAUUCCACAGUCAGAGAUGGUACGAUUUUUUAUAAACACUCUUCCACCUGAAUGGCAAGAUGUGUUGAAUCGCAUAUGGGAUGUCAAUGGAGUUGCUUCAUAUAAGAAAAUUGUGAUGGAUUUUGUAAAUGAAUAUUACUGCAUUGUUACAAGGGAAAAGAUCAAGAAAUUGAACAAAAAAUGAUCAUUCCCAAUUCGUGUGCUGACUCUGUGUUAGUUGUAUUGGCUGAUUUAUGUUAAGUGUGCUUUGUGGACAUAAUUAUGUAAUGUUUACUACCUAAUUUUUUGUUGAUGUAGCAACCAAUAUCUUUAUUGUAUUAGUUGAAAGCAUUAUUGUUUUAUUGGAAGUCAAUUAUCUGUUGCUUUCUGUUAUUACUGGUUGCUAUGGGUAGUUAUAGAAUUUUUUGUAACUUCAUAGAAUUUAUUUUGCAUAAGACAAUUAUAUUAAUGAUAGUUUUAAGUUAGGAUUAUGGAGGAUGAUUGGAAACAUAGUGACAUUUUGAUUCUGAAGCCUUACUUGAAAUUAUUCAUUAAUAUGAUGGGUCUAUGCAAAUAGGAAUGCAUAAAUGUUAGGCAUUAAUAAUUUGUGCAUAUAUGUCUGAUGUGUUCAGAUCAAUGGCUUCAGCCACAAAUAGCAUAGUUGCCGAGCUGAACAAAGGUGAAAAGCUCAAUGGUGACAACUAUGAGAUAUGGCAUAUGAAAAUCCAAUAUGUGCUGGAAGAGCAAGAGGCACUUGAGGCUCUUAACCUAACCAUGGUAGAACCUAAAGAAGGAAACACUACGCAACACAAAAGAGAUAAGGAAGCAUUUGCUGCAUGGAAAAGAAAGAACUCUCUUGCUCGCAUCACGUUGUUGAGCAACAUGGAAAAUGACAUCAUGCGAGAGUUUAGGCGUUUUGACAAUGCCAAGGAAAUGUGGGAGGCAUUGGCAGCUAGAUUUGGUCAUACUUCGGUGACCAGAUUGAGACAGCUCACUAUUAGGUUUGACUCCUAUAAGAAGCCUCAUGGUCAGACCAUGAAGCAACAUCUUAGAAAGAUGUCAAACAUGAUAAAUGAGCUGAAAGAUGCUGGUCAUAUCCUCACAGACGAGCAGCAGAUGCAAGCAGUGAUUCGUUCCUUACCUCAGAGUUGGGAGCAUAUGAAGGUGCACCUAACCCAUAAUGAAAAUAUCAAAUCUUUUGAGGAUGCAAUGCGCCAUCUUGAGCUGGAAGAGGACCGCCUCUUGGCGGCUAAGCGGAUGCAGAACUCUAUCAUGCUAGUUCUAGCUCAAAUGGAGCUUCGAGCUCCAAGCACAAGCGCCCUAACUGGUUUGAUAAAGGGAAAGGCAAGGAAGAAGGUCCUUCAGGGAAGAAACCCAAGUUUAACCAACAUGAAAGAGGAAAGCAUCCUCGCAUGAAGAAGUUUGCAAGGGUGAAAUGCUACAACUGUGACAAGAAGGGUCACUAUGCUCGUGACUGUCGUGAGCCAAAGAAGGUAUGCACCCUUUGUACUUUUCAGAACUUUACUUUUGUGUCGAGUUUUGUGUUCUUAACUGAAUCUAAUCCUUUGUGGACUGUAGAUUCAGGAGCGACGGACUAUGUAGCGAAGAAUAGAGGAUCCUUCGUGGAAUUCCGACGAGUACCAACUGGAACUAAGUGGAUCUAUGUGGGAAACAACUCCAUAGCUGAAGUGAAAGGAAUUGGCACAUGCCAACUGAAUAUGCGUGGUGGACGCACUUUGUUCCUACAUGAUGUGUUGUAUGCUCCGGAGAUUCGUCGGAAUUUAGUGUCUGUAUUAGUGUUGGUUAAAUUAGGUUUUAAUAUGAACUUUUAUAGUAGAGGUGUGAAUUUGUUUUUGGAUACAAAUUACUAUGGUUGUGGUUAUUUUCUGGAUGGUUUCAUUGUAUUAGAUAUUGAUUAUGUUAAUGCAAAUGUUUGUUAUUCCCUUCUCACGUCUCCUAAUACAUAUGAUAAUGAUGUGAAUGUGUGGCAUGCUAGACUUCGUCACAUUGGCCAAUAGCGUAUGAAUAGACUAGCUAAAGAGGGCUUGUUGGGCAACAUUGAAAAAGUCGAUUUGCCCAUAUGUAAGCAUUGCCUAGAAGGGAAAACAACAAGGAAACCAUUUGGGAAAGGUAAAAGAGCAUAAUUUCCUCUGCAUUUAAUCCAUUCUGAUGUCUGUGGUCCAAUAAAUGUGAGAGGAAGACUUGGGGCUGUUUAUUUCAUCACAUUUAUUGAUGAUUAUACUCGAUUCGGAUAUGUCUAUUUGAUUUCUCAUAAAUCUGAAGCAAUAAGUUGUUUCAAAAGGUUUAUGAACCUGGUAGAAAAUCAAUUAGAUAAGAAAAUAAAAGCAUUGAAAUCCGAGCGAGGUCGAGAAUAUUUAUCUGAUGAGUUCAGAAAAUUAUGUGAUGAAAAAGGAAUAGAAAGACAGUUGUCUAUUCCAUAUACUCCUCAACAAAAUGGUGUUGCGAAGAGAAUAAACAGAACCCUACUGGAAAUGGUUAGGUCCAUGAUAGCGCAUGCUAACUUACUUAUUACAUUUUGGAGUGAUGCCUUGUUAACUGCUACCUAUAUACUUAACCGAGUGCCUUCCAAAUCAGUUACUUCCACUCCAUAUGAGUUAUGGACAGGUAGAAAAUUGGACUUAAGUUUUCUUAAGCCAUGAGGUUGUGCUGCCUAUACACAUGAGUUCUCUCACAAGUUUGGGAAAUUGGGUCCCAGAGGAAAGAAGAGUAUUUUCAUAAGAUACUCUGAAUACUCGAAAUGAUAUGUGUUCAUAGGUGAGCAGGAAAGUGGGAGUAUAACUGAGUUUGAAUCACGAGAUGUCACAUUCUUAGAGGAUGAAUUUCCUAAGAAGGGCGAAAUAGGGGAAGAUUGUUCCCUAUUUGAGACCUUGGAUCAGGAUAAUGAUGUUAGUGGAGUUCGUCCAAGUGGGAGUAAUAUGAGAAGUGAUGAAUUGAAUUCAACUCAUUCUCAAUUGCAACCACAUGAUGAGACGACAUCAUCAUUACCUAAUCCAAGUGGGAGCAUGAUGGGGAAUAAUGUGCAAAGUGUACAAUCUCCCAUACGGCGAACAAGUCGCCAAAGUAUUCCCCGUCGACGUUUUGACAUUGAAGGGGAAACUUUUAUGGUUGCUCCACAAGAUGCGGAUGAGCCAAGAAAUAUUAAUGAGGCUCUGAAUUGCCCUAGUAAGGAAAAAUGUAUUAAUGCAAUGGAAGAGGAAAUGGAGUCAAUGAAAUCAAACCAAGUCUGGGAACUGGUUGAUCUUCCAAAAGGACGCAGAGCUAUUGGGAACAAGUGGGUUCUCAAAAUAAAGCGAAAGGCUGAUGGUUCGAUUGAAAGGCAUAAGGCUUGCCUUGUGGCGAAGGGGUAUAAUCAACAGGAAGGAAUUGAUUAUGAAGAUACGUUUUCUCCUGUAGUGAGAUUUACCUUGAUUCGCAUUAUUCUGGCAAUAGUGGCUAGUCUGGAUCUUAAGUUACAUCAAAUGGAUGUAAAGACUGCUUUCCUCAAUGGAGAAUUAGAGGAAGAAAUAUAUAUGGAACAACCUGCUGGUUUCAUAGUGAAAGGCCAAGAAGAAAAAAUAUGUCGACUUUUGAGGUCGAUAUAUGGUCUUAAGCAGUCAUCAAGACAAUGGUAUAUACGUUUUCAUAAUGCCAUAAUGGCAUAUGAUUUUACGAUGAUUGAUGAGGAUCAUUGUGUAUAUAUCAAAAGAUCCAAGGAUCAAUUUGUGAUCAUAUCAUUAUAUGUUGAUGAUAUACUAAUUGCCGGAAGCAAUAUGGAGUUUGUUCAUACUGUCAAGAGUUGGUUGUCUUCCAACUUUGAGAUGAAGGACAUGGGUGAGGCUGCAUACAUUCUUGGAGUUAAGAUUUCAAGAGAUCGUUCGAAGAGAUCGUUGUCUAUUUCGCAAGAAACAUAUAUAAAUAAGGUUCUUGAACGAUUUCGUAUGCAAGAUUGUAAACCCAUAGACACUCCUAUUGCAAAAGGUGAAGGAUUGAGCCAUAGACUGUGUCCAAGGACUCCACAAGAGAAGGAACAAAUGAAACAUGUUCUUUAUGCUAGUGUUGUUGGGAGCUUGAUGUACGAUAUGAUAUGUACAAGACCCGGCAUAUGUUUUGCAGUUGGAAUGGUGAGUAGAUACCAAUCCAAUCCAGGUCCAGCACAUUGGAAGGCCGUUAAGAGAAUAAUGAGGUAUCUGAAGGGAACUGCUGAUUACAAGUUGAAUUACCAAGGAAAUGAUCUACGACUUGAAGGCUAUUUAGAUGCUGAUUGGGGAGGAGAUUUAGAUGAAAGGAAAUCUACCUCAGGAUUUGCUUUCUUAUUGAGCAAUGGCGCCAUAUCAUGGAGUAGUAAGAAGCAAACAUGCAUAGCCUUAUCCACGAUAGAAGCUGAGUUCGUGGCAUUAUCGGCAGCAGUACAAGAAGGAGUUUGGCUUAAGAGAUUCUUGAAUGAUUUAGGUGUUAUUAAGAAAGCUGCAAAUCAAUUAUUGGUUAAUUGUGAUAGCCAAUCAGCUAUAGCAUACACCAAAGAUCCAAAAUAUCAUGGCAAGACCAAACAUAUAGAUACCAAGUAUAACUUUGUCAAGGAUGUGGUUGCACGAAAGGAUGUGAACUUAUAGUACAUAUCUACGCAUAGAAUGGUAGCAGAUCCUAUGACAAAGCCAAUACCUAGAGAUGUGUUUUGUGGUCAUAUAAAAUCUCUAGGAUUACGUAGAGUCUGAUGUACUGGAUUGUAAUUUCCCUGAGUUGUUCACAUUUAUGAACUAGUGUUGUUUCAUUAUUAAUGCCUAUGAAUCUUUGUUUGAUCUUUAUGCAUCUUAAUACUCAGUGUAUUAUUUUAAGUUGAGGAANNNNNNNNNNNNNNNNNNNNNNNNNNNNNNNNNNNNNNNNNNNNNNNNNNNNNNNNNNNNNNNNNNNNNNNNNNNNNNNNNNNNNNNNNNNNNNNNNNNNUGAGAUUGUUUUUAGCUUAUUAUCUAGGUGAUAAUCGAGAGCUCAAGCUUAAAAUACGUAUGUCGCCUUAACUGAGUGUUAAGAUGAUGACAUAAUACUUACUAUGUCUGAAAGUAAAAUACCCCACAUAUUUUACUUUAUCUGUCUAAGAUACCAGAUGUGAGUUCUAAUGAAUUUUGUAAAUAAGUAGAUACGUGAACUCAAGUUAGACAUUGGGUAUGUCUGAACUAUCAUCUGUACGGUAUUGAAAGGUGUAAACAUACGCUCCAUGGGAAAGGAGUUAAUAUUGUAAUAUGUAUUUCAUACUACGUAUGCAUGAGCCGACCAAUAAGAGUGAAAAAAAAGUUUGAUCUCAACUUUUAUGACGUGUGAGACUCUUGAGGAAAAGAGUUCCUCAAUUUUAGUGCCCUCAUGACUUUUACUUAUUCUCAAGGUUUCUAUUUAGUGUUUGCUAUUUUAGGAUGUUGCCAAUGGUCAUGAGUUGAUUCGAUCUAAUUGGACAUUUCUAGAAAAGCAAGCUGAACUGAAAUUGAGAGUUUGAAGGAAAGAGGAAUAUCGAUUUUGGGGAAUCACGUUAUAGUUUUGUAUUCACUGGUUGACCAAUUAUGAUUGUCUUUGUAAUAAUUAUAAUUGUGAAUACAUUAUAUGUAUCAUUUUUUAAAAAAGAUCAAAAGAGAUAUAAAUGUGAUCGAUCGAUCUAGGGUACUGCAUAUUAAAUCUACUUAAAGCGUGACGCCCAUUAAUGAGCUGUUAUAUAUUCCUAACAGAUGUAUAGCAACGAGCUCUCAAAGUAUGCCGGUCCCAUGGAUUAUUCACCGGUAUGAAUGUUGAAGAGAGGUAAAGAGAAUCAUAUUCGGCCCACCAUGUGCGAGUGGGAGAUGAUGGUUUUAUUAGUGAUGGGCUUAAGGCCCAUCCGCCCAAGUUGGGCCCAAAAAGCCCGGCCCACGGGAAUACGGCCAGUGGAUGGAGGGACAUAUAAAAGGAGGAGAGAGAGAGAGAACGUACCAAUUGAAGAAAACAGAAAGCAAACGUACGUCUUUUUCUUCUCACGCUCUCUCUCUCUCGCUUUUCUCUCUCAAAAGGAAAACAGUGAAGCACGAAGGCGAAUUUGCUUCACCGGAUCGAACAGGACCAAGUUUCUCUUCCUCUAUCGGCGUUAAUGUUUAAUCUGUGGCUUAAAAGGUACGCUCGAAUCCGUGGUGUGCUUUAGGAUCGGUGAUACGUGUUGUUUUCCCAGGCUCGUCUUCCGCAUUGAUUUAGGGGUUUGAUUUAGUGUCGAAUCUGCUUUUCGGGGAUCCGUUAUUCCCAACACAAUAGAAGCAAACCUUGACGCAGGGUUAGGGUUUCCGCCUGCAAGGAGGAAGACGCAUGAAUCUCUUUGGCAAAACCAUCUACCAUGAUGCCGUUGGAGUCACAAAGGAUGCCUGCAAUCGAGUUGAGCGAUUCUCCGUCUACCCACGAGCUAUCCACAUUCAACUUCAAAUCUGGAUCUUUCAGCGCUAUCCAGUUCAGAGGGUAAGUUCGCCUUUUCUCUCAUCUCUUUGCUCUUGCUCGGGUUCCAGCAUCGAUAGCUCUGUUUUUGUGCGAGGGCUGUUGCGAUUAACACCUCAGGUGGUGCCUUCUUAUCCCGGAAUACCAAAUUGUUCCUGUUUUUCCAUAUUUGCCAAAGCACCUCUACGAUUAAUUCUACAUCAGGUAAGUUUGUUUUUGCUUCCAGAAAUUCCGCCAUCCAUUUGUCCAUUCUAGUUACUGUUUUUUGUAGUGGUUGAGGUUUAAUCGUGGAUCUGACCAUAUUCUCUGGACUGUUUUGCAAUAAAAGAAGAUGUGUUUGACUGUCUCAGGGUAUUUAGAACAGAGAGGGCAUAGUGGGUCAAGUAAGAUCUCCCUUUGGUAGAGUUUUUCUUUGGUUGGUACUGCAUCCUGAUAUAGGCUCCACAGAAAUAUUUUCAGUUUGGGGGGGAUUGAUAGGUUUCAUAGUCUUGUCCAGAGGACCCGGGGAGGCUGGUGUGAGGAUGAAGCUCUGUUUCUGUCCUGUUGUGGGGAAUUGUUUUUGACGCUAUUAUAACCACUUUUAACUAUGUAGCUCCCAUUUUUGUUACCUGUCCAGAUCAGUUUAUCUGCCUUUGGCUACGUAGCGAUUGGUAUAGACAAGAUUUCAUUUACAAUUCUUCUUUCAAACAUCUAGUUUAACAGCAGUUCUUUCCACUCCUUCCUUCCCUCAUCAAUUAAAUCAGCCACUGUUUGAAGAUCUUCUCUGUUUGCUGGACCUCCUAGUACUCCUUGUGAUAGCCAGUGAUCUUAACGGAUGUUAAUGGACUUCCUGUCACCCACAAUCCAUCUUAGGUCUAGUGCAAUGGCUUCACGUCCCAUUAGAAUACUCUGCCAUCCCCAAGAUGGUCUUUGACCUCUGUUUACUUUCCAUAAGACUCCAUUAGGAAAAUAUAAACCUUUCAGGAUUUGGCUCCAUAAUGCUGAAGGUAAUAGGGAUAAUCGUCAGGCCUACUUUCCCAACAUUGCUUUGUUGAAAGUAAUUAGGUCUUUAAAACCUAAACCUCCCCUGUCUUUUCUGGACUUUAGAACCUCCCAUUUUUUCCAAUGCAUGCUAUUCUUGGCUUCAUCUUGCUUCCACCAAAAUGCUGCAAUUCUUUUCUCAAUUGCUCGACAAACUGAUAUAGGUAUCUUGAAGAUUAACAUUGCGUACUGCGGCAGUGCUUGCACCACAAUUUUGAUCAAGAUUUCUUUCCCAGCUUUAGACAGGUAUUUUUCUUUCCAUCCCGCUAGCGUCAUGUUCACUCUUGCCAAAAUCCAUGCAAACGUGUCUUUUUUUGUUUGGCCCCAGUCUAAUGGUAUUCCAAGGUAUUUUCCAGUCCUGUCAAUGCUUGGCACUCGCAUUUCUUAUGUCAUAUUCUUUUUCAACUCCUAUGGGCAGCCAUUGUUGAAAACCAUUCCUGACUUAUUCAGAUUGAUUGCUUGACCCGUAGCAUAGUAAUAUUGAUUUAGUACAUCCACCAAACUUUGACAUUCUCCAACAGUCCCAUCCAUAAAGAAAAUAGCAUCAUCAGCGAACAGCAAGUGGGAUAACGUUGGAUAAUACCUGUUUAAUCCGAUCCCUUUAAUACUUCCGUCUUCCAAGGCUUUGUGUAGUAUCCAUGAGAGGCUAUCAAUAUGAAUAGGUAGGGGGAUAGUGGAUUGCCUUGUUUAAUUCCACGUGUAGGAGAAAAAUACUCUGUUUGCUCUCCGUCGAUUUUCACAUUAUAAGAAACUGUUGACAUACAUUGCAUAAUCAAAUGAACCCAGUGAUAAGAAAAUCCCAUCUUUAACAUGCUCAUUCGAAGAAAAUCUCAUUCCACUCUAUCAUAUGCUUUUUGCAUGUCCAGUUUCAAUAUCGCCUGAAAUUUCUUUGUCCUCUUCUUGAUUCUCAUUUGAUGGAGCACUUCUUGAACAAUUAGGAUAUUGUCUUGGAUUUGGCAACCUUGAACAAAAGCACUUUGUUCAUGUGAUAUUAUCUAUGAAAGCCAUUGUUUUAAUCUAUUUACCAGGACCUUCGAUAUGAUUUUAUAGCUGAAAUUGCAUAGGCUGAUUGGUCUGAAUUGGCUAAUAUUCUCUUAAUUUUUAACUUUUGGUAUAAGAGCAAUGUAUGUCAUGUUUAGAAUGGGAUCAAGAUUACCUAACUGAAAAAACUGUUGGACCAUAAGCAUAACAUCCAUUUUUAUAUCAUCCCAGAAGUGCUGGUAGAAUUGCCCAUUUAGAUCGUCUGGUCAUGGAGCCUUUAUGGAGCCUAAUUGGAAAACAGCUUCUUUCACCUCCUCCUCAAAUAUAUUAGCCAACAAGAAUUCAUUCAUCUCUGUAGUUACAACUGUUUAGCAUUGAUUUAAUAUAGGCUGGAGAUUCCGUCGUCCCACCAAGUCAUAGAGAGACCGAUAAUAGUCCAUAAUGUGUUGUUUGAGCACCUUGGGAUCCCUACUCCAAUUCUGUUCAUCAACUUUCAGCAUUGUUAUUUUGUUUCGCUGCCUCCUUCGAAUUGUAGUGGCAUGGAAAUGCUUCGUAUUCUUAUCUCCUCAUUGGAGCCAAUUGAUUCAGGACCUUAGUCCCCAAUACAUAUCUUCAUGCCUCCAUAGUUAAUCAAUGUUUGCUUUUAACUUCUGAAUUUCUUCCUUUCUGGUUUCUCGAGUAUUGUUAUUAGUAACAUCCGUUAGGCACUUCUUGAGUUCUUUUAUUUGAUAGGAUGCAUUAGAAAAUUUCUUUUUGCUCCAUUCAGCUAGUGCCUUUGUUACUUGCUGAAUUUUUUGUGGCAAUCUUCUGUGGUCUUGAUAAUUUCCAGCCCAAGUAUCCAUAACAACAUCUCUACAGUCCUUUUCAUCUAACCAAUAAGCUUCAAAUCUGAAAUCUCUUUUCCUUUUGCCAUGAACAGGAUAUAAGGAGAGUAGAAGGGGGUUGUGAUUCGACCCCACCACUGGUAAUGCCAAAACUUCAGCAUUUGGAAAGGUAACUUGCCAUUCCAUAGUACAUACUACUCUGUCUAAUCGUUUUUUCACCAAUUCUUCCCCUUCUCUAUUAUUGGUCCAUGUAAACAUCUAGUCUUUACUAUCAAUAUCCAUUAGUGAACAGUCAUUUAACAUAUCCCGAAAAGCUGCAAUUCGGUAAUAAUUAGUCUCCCUUUUUCCUUCUUUCUCCCAAUUAUAUAGGGUAUCAUUAAAGUCUCACAUACAAAGCCAUGGUAGUCGAUUAGUUGUAUGAAAACCUCGUAGUUGGUGCCCUAACUAGAUUCUCUCCUAGUAGUUUGUUGAAGCAUGAAGGGAUGUAAUCCUCAUGAUUUUGCCACUAUUGGGAUCUUCACAUUCUGUAUCUAUUAAAUAGUUUGAGCUGCAAUUCACUUUUACUUUAGCCUCCUCACUCCACAUGAGUGCUCGUCCCCCGGCAAUUCCUGUAGGCUGAACCAAAAAGAACUGCUGAUAGUUAAGUCUCCUCCUUACCAUUCACCAUGGUUUCCUUAUUUUUGGUUUCCAUCAAGAAAACCACAUUAGGCCUUUUUAGAGCCACUAAGGCUCGAAGCUCUUGGAAUGUCAAGGGGUUGCCCAGCCCCUGACAAUUUCAGCUCAAAAUCCUCAUGAUGUCGUCAGUGGCUUAUUAGGGCUAGCCACCAAAGCCCAAUCAUUCCCCUCUUUCACUUGCUGGAUAGGUGUCUCUAGUAGCUCCAUCUCUUCUAUCAUUAACAAGCUUGAUUCGUCAAUCUUCUUCUGUUUUUUGCUCUUAUGAACUUUGGCCCCUUCCUAUUAGAGCCUCCUCUUUCAAUCUGUCCUGCUUCAGUCGAGUCUAGAUUUUCUAGUUGUUGUAUCCCUCAUAUCUUCUGUUCUGUUUUCAUUCGGUGAUGGAUUUUCUGCCCUCUUUUUGCUUCAAUUAGGUCCAGCAGCUGGUCCAUGGCAGCCCACAAUCUCAAGAUUAGACUGGAGGGGAGUAUCAGGUACGCAUUCCUCCUCCUCUGAAGUAGAUAUUAUUGUUCCAUAAAAAGCUUCCUAGUGAGGGCUUUUGUCUCUGACCUCUGAUUUAAGCCAUGGCCCGUAUUUCCCUAGCUUGUUUGCUGCCCAUUCUAUUUUUUCAUAGGGUAUUUCUUUGCAAUUGGUGACAUAAUGCCCUAGCUUUCCACAGGAAUAGCAGUAAUGAGGAAGACGCUCAUACUUGAACUCAACCCAUAGCUUUUUUUUGCCAAUCUUCACCAGAGCCCCUGUUUUAAGGGGAGCUGAAAGUUCAAUUUCCACUCUUGCUUUUCCUGUUUUAUAGAGCAUAUUUCCCAUUUUCUCUAACUGAAUUUCCUUCACUUUGCAUAUAGAAAAUAAGAACUGGAAAAAGGAACCCAUAUCUUAUCCAAAAUAUGUACCUCACUAUGGCCAUAGACGCGAUUUCAUUACCUCUUUGCAAAACCAUGAGAUAAAAACCCCGAAAAUCCAACUGUUUAGGCUUUGAUAUGCAAAAAUAAACAAUAAUGCACAUCUUACUCAUACAUACCGUCCACCAAAUAAUUGGCAAACAAAUUACCGUGCUAGUAUGCUACCAAUCUAUAUGAUCAUGGGAAAGAGAAAAGGUCACCAACAGAAUAAUGUGAAGUAAAAGGAAAAGAGAGAGAACAAGCGACUUCCUUCUACCCACUACAGUUUUCUUUACAGUACUUGUGGUGUAUGAGACAAUUCAUCACAAAGCUCAACUAGAUCAUGUUUAAAAGAAAGCCUUUCUAUCUCUUCUUUUUCCUUUUUUCCAUGUUUUUGUUCUUCUUAGAAAAAACGGAUUAGACAAGCCAAUUAAGCCAGCUCUAAAACUAAUUUCAACAUGAGAAAGCUUACUCCUAGGUCUUCCCACCGUAGCACAACCAUCACAAAGCACAAGACCAUGAAAAACCAAUCGACUUGAUGAAAACAGCGAAGUGAUCCAACUACUCCUAAUAAUACAGAAAUCAAAAAAUAAUAAAAUAAUAAUAAUUUAUCUUUUCAGAAAUUAAAAAAAAAAUCAAAAAUAUUCUACAAUUUCCCAAAAAAAGAAAAAGUCAAAAAUGAUUUAUAUUUAAAAAAUCAAAAAUUCCGAAAAUGCAAAAAUAGAAAAAAGACCAAAAAUAUGUUUUUCUCCACAAAAUGCAUGAAAAAUCCUUUAAAAUCCAAAAGGCCUUAGGGUUUAAACAAGAUUAGGUAGCGGAAAGGACAUUAGUGAUUAACUAAUGUAAUUAAGUUAUUGAUCCUAAUUUCUCUGAUUGCGCGGGAACGAAAUAUUUCUCCCAAUAUUUCGUUUGGGUUUCCAAUCAACCCACCCCAAAUUGAAUAGUGAUGAAUUAACUUACAAGUUAAAAACUCGGAGCAUAAGUUGUGAAUUGGUGGGCUUGAGAGAGCCUGAGCUAAGCAUAAUAGACUUAGCAAGCCAUUAGCCUCUACAAGCACCAGCACAUUAGGGCACCGAAAGGGAGGUCGUGACAACAAGCAAAACACCUAUUUAAUCUUACACCCUAUUUUCUGAUAAUCCAGAAGAUACAUGGCUACACUACUACGUUCUUGUUUUACUCUCUCUUUUUUCUAUACGAAGAUUGUACUAUAUGGGGAACAACACAUGAUUGAUCGAAGUCGUGCCUAAUUUAAGGGAGAUGAGGUUGAGAGUAUACUAGCCUUAAACCAAACAAUUUAGAUUUUCUACGAACCUUUCAAUUUGGAUCGACUUUCUUUUAGCCAAGAAGACUUGCAAAAGGGGCAUGUUUCCACCUUUCUCGAUGAGCGGGUUUACAAAUAUGUUACACCAAAAUUUAAUUUUAGUUAAAUUUGCAUGCGGUGAAAUACAUAACUUGUAAUCUACUAACCAAAAAUAUGGUUUUAGCAUGAUUCUUCCAACCCUACAAUGGCAGAAAACAUUAGCCCCGGGAGUCAAAUUAUAGAGCUUAUCAAACAUCAAUCCCUACCGGAAUACAUCAGAAAAGUGCUGAGAACGAAACGCGAGGAGAAGAUAAGAGAUGCACAGGACGUGGAUACGUGAUGGCCAGACGAACUCAAGUGUUGACUGGCGACUGGAUUUAGACACUGAAUAAUUCGUGCAAAUUCUUCUUCGACUAGACACCACAAACAUCGUUUGACCCAGAGCAGGAAAAAGGACGAAAAUGCCCAAAAGGAAGGUGGUCAAAAUUCAGCCGUGACUUCUGAUUUCCAGAGGGCAUUAGCUGCCAACAUUAGAGCAUGAUAGCAUACGUUUUCAAAGACUUUUAUCAUGUACCUUGGAUCAUUAUCAUCAUAGAAAAAACCUACUUCAAUAAUUGACUCGAAAUAUAAACGUUACUCAUGUGAUGAAAAUCUCCUAGAGCUUUAUGCAUGGUCAAUGGACCUACUAAAGAUCCUUGGUUUGACUAUCAUGGACAUCAACUCGGGGAAAUCAACCAGAUGUUAUGAUUUCCGCGAUGCUUGUGCAGCUAGGUCCCAUGAGAUGGCCUAUAGUAUCUGAUGAAUGGACCUAUUUAUGUGCACAGAUUAGACCAAGGCGAUAGGUCCGACUCCCUCCGUUGUCAAGCGCAAACAUCAUAUCUGGAGCAUAUUCGAUUUUCUCUCAUAUGUCGCCUUUAAUAGGAGAUCAUAGGCACUCUAUGGUCUCAAUUUUUUUGCUCUACUUCAAUUCGUGCCUUUAAGUAAACUUUUUUUUCACUUACCGAAGUACUUGUUCUCAAAAGAAAGAAGAGAUCUUAUUCUUGAAAAACGCCCACGUUAGGAACACGCUAAGCAAGUAAGGCCCUGUCCCACUGUAUUGAAAGCGAGAACCACUACAAGAGGUCGAACCGAGGACCUAUGGAAUUGGGGACCCGAUCAAUAUUAGAUCAAACAACUGGGGGGGGCUGGCUACACUAGUACACUAGCCUUUAUUCUAGCCUAUAUUAUACUCAAUGACUAUGUUAGUUGAACUAGCUCAUUCGUUGGCUUGAGAUAGAGCUACUUUAAUACCAACAUGAGGGACUGGCGGGGCUAUAAAGAAAGAAUAAAGUAGUUUCAACAAGAUUCCAUAACGUAUAAUCCUAAACUUUUUUGACCAUCCCAUACGGGCAGGUCGAGUACAAGAUACAUUUCUCUCUUAUUUAUAUAAGAUCGAUUCUUUUGACUAUUCAUUUGGAAGUUUGAUAAUACUGGGAGUGAUUCUAGGUUACUUAUCUUGAAUUUUUCUUGUCCAAAAGAGCAUUUAUUUCGAGUUAUUUCUCAUAUUUUGGAAGUGUUUUCCUUGUGAACGAGUACAAUUCUCACUUGAGUAGGAGACUAUGAAAAAAAAAGUCUUAAUUUUAUUGUACGAAUGUCAAUUUUGUUUUAAACCUUUUAAUUUGACCAAUUUAAUUUCAAACAUUUUGACAAUUUGUCAAUUUAGUUUUCCUAAUCAAUUUCAGUAAAAAAAUCAUUGAUGCGGACAUCUACCACACUACUAUGUGAUACAGUUAGCACUAACGUGGACAAUUUUUUGCAAUUUUUUUAAAGGAAUUGAAAUUUUAAUUUUUUUUUUCCUUUUUUCCGUCAUUGUGCAUCAGCCACUAGGGCAAAGGCCUACAAACCCUCGUCGACCGCUAGCGAGGGCCUUCGUGCCCUAGCCUAUGGCCUAGGCAAAGGCCAAUUACAACUACAAAGAAAACAGAAAAUAAAAAAUUAUUUAAAAACUCAAAACAUUUUUAAAAGUUACAAAAAAAAAAUUGUCCAUAUUAGCACCGAUCGUCCUACAUGGCAUAACCAGCAUCCAUGUCAGCGAUUUUUAAUCAAAAUUGGCCAAAGUUGGCAAACUAUCAAAAGGUUAAGCACUAAAUCGGCCAAGUCAAAACAUUUCAAGAUUGAAUUUAUUAUAAAUUUAAGAUUUUUUUUUUUUUAUAAAUUUCCCUCGAGUGAGAGUCGCAUUCGUUCACAAGGAAAACAUUAUCAAAAUAUGAGAAAUAACUCAAAAUAAACACUCUUUUGGCCAAGAAGAAAAUCAAGACAAGUAACCUAGAAUCAUUCCUAGUAUGAUCGAACUUCCAAGCCGAAUGAUAAUGGAUCGUGUGCUGUAUGAAGAAAAAGUUUCCCUGGAAGAGGAUGGUCAAAAGGGCCCGAUCCGAUGUCCACUCCCAGUGCCAGCAUGCCUCACCUAGCACGGUGUGACCCGCCAAGUUUUCACCUUUGCCUUUUUCCUUUUGUGCGUUGCACGUGGGUGCUUUGCUCGGUUGCUCUGGUAUGCAAUGAGCUUUUUAUUAAAUGCAAUCAUUCAGCACCAGAAGAAUCGGUCAUCCGUAAAACUUUGUCUCCAUCUCUCCUUUCUUCUUUCAGUUCGUGGGGAAUUCAUUAGUGCCAGCUGGGUCGUUUGAUUUGGUUGUGAAUACAAAUAUCAAUAAUGGAUGGGGAGGGCGAUCAUAUCCAAUGAUCCCAUCUUUACGUUACCAUAAAUAUUACGCACCCACUACAAAUUAUUUGAUUUUAACCAUAAUUAUUUUGCACUAUCUGUGAUUUGAAAAUUCGAAAUUAACGAGUGUGUUGAGACAACGUGUCAAAACACCAUCGGUCAAAAAAUCUCUCCACAUGAGACAUGUCAUACUUAUACAAAACAACGAGAGGUUUCUAGGGUUUGUUUACUUAGGUUUCUCGUGAAACUAAUAUGAUGGUCCGCGCGUAAUUCACUAUAGUAAAUUUCCAAAUGUUAAAAGAUCAUGUAUGGGUAUUUGGUAGAAGUUUUGGCUUUUGUUUUGAUUUUAGAGUUUUAGGUUUUGGUUAACGUUGAAUGUGCUGCAUAUAUUUAGAGAGAAAUACACAAGAUGCUAACGUUUUGAGUCGCCUUAAAUUGCUCUCAUGAUUUCUCCGUUAAAAGAUUAUCUUCUAUUUCGACGAUAAGGGAUUUUCGGCUUAGGAAAGCCAAAUCUGAAACGUUUUUGAGUAAAAAGCAAAAGCUAAAGCCAUUUCAAGGUAAAAAAACUACUAGUUAGAAAGCAUUCAUACACCCCGUGACGAUUCGUGCUAAAUCUAAAAAAUUUACAACGAUCCAUUCAAACACCCAAAUAUCAAACCUUACUUUCACUUAAUUAUUUAAAAUUUUAGAUAAUAAGUAUACGGUAGGUUUACAAUACCAAAAAAUACACACGACAAUAAUGCGGGGGUUAAAGUUCACUAACUCAAAAGGGAGGCAAACCAAUCAAUAUGUCCUAAACAAAGAUAAGAUUUGAUCUUGGGAUUGUUCAAAAUAGAGUUCAAACGUUCUGGUAGGCAAGGAUUCCAAUCAACCAUCACUUGAAAAAAGGAAACUUUGACUAAUCAAGAUGAUGACAAAGAUCUCGACCGAAUAAUAGCUAGGGUUUUGACCAUGGUCUGAUGCCAAUCCCCCUCAUAGACCUCUGCCUUUCUGAAAGCUCGUAACUACAAUUCGAAAUUAUACUUUAGGGAGUUAUAUUAAGGGAAAGAGAUCCACUCGUAUCUCACAAUUUAAAAAAGGAAGGAAAACAAAAACACAGAUCAUACCUUCUUCUUCUUUUCUUAUUUUUCCUGUUUUAGAUAAUUGCCCUAAUUGCUUGGGCUCUAGAAUGGGUUCCUACUAUGACUAAAUAUUGGGAUAAUUAUCCAAAAUAUCUUAAAUAUAUAAUACGUGCACGGUACUGAUUGAACAGCAACAUUAAUGAUUUUGGUCAAAAACCCAAUUUUGGUUGGAAUGAUUAUGCUGAAUAAUUGUCAAAAGGUCGAGAUAAAAUUAAUCAAAUUAAAAAUUUUGGAUUGAAUUGACUGUCGUAAAGAUUUUCUAGAGAAUUAUCCCUUCAAUUAUUGCUCAUAUGAUAUCUUAUAAUGAGAAACGGAGCGGUAGGGUGCAAGAACGAAUGAACGUGUGAGUGGAAUCUUGAAUUCAAAGCACGAAAUUCCUUGAAAUUUCAUAAAGUGGGGAAGAAAGCGGUAUCUGGACAAUUAACAUAAACUGAUGGGCGAACAAAGGGCCACGUACCACCUUUGCUCCAUCAAGUUGCACAUUUGAUUCCAAACAAGUCAUGCCACUUGGCCAAAUGCACGUCACUCUGCUUGUGUCAUCCCUCGUCAUCUAAUUCGUUCGGGUAUGAAACUGUUGGCCCAAUUGAUCAAUCGAGUUUUAAAAUAUUUAAUUUUUGGCCGAUUGAGCUUUUUCACUUUUUUAAAAUACAUUGAAUCGAGUCGCCGAUCAUCGAAAGCGAUUUACUUCGAUGCCGACAAGUGCUAAUCGACGAACAUGUCCAGCACUCGUUGCACAUUUUAAAAGCGUGGAAGACUCGUCCGGACAAGAUAAAAUGUGGAGAGCUCAAUUGAAUAAUGGUUGAUUCAUAAAAGGUUUACGAUUAUGGAAUUUAUUUAACUUUUACCUAAGAUUAAAAAAAAAGGAAAAUGUUUCAUGAGACCGGCACGUCCAAAUGCCUUUAAUUCUUUGCUAUAUGCAUCUAUUAAUAUUAUUACAUGGCUUCAAUUGCUAGAAAAAUGAUGGGUUAGAUUUUUAUGAUAGCUCAGUACCACUAACCCUAAUUAAAAUUCCUGUAUCAAUGAGAGUCAACACUGCAACAAUUUUGAGUAGGACUUUUUAAUUUAAUAGUAACCAACUUUCAAAUACAAACAAAAUGAUCAUGAUAUAUGUCAUAUGUCGAAUUAGAUACAUUGAAUUUCCCCUAACAAAGUGCCGGUCAUCGUUCGAGUUUCAAUUAGCAAGAUUCAUGUAUGGAAUGUUUGAAGCCCUUCCAUCAUCUAACUAUCUUUCACUAGAUCCAACGGUCUCCAUCCGAAGACAUUUACAUUCCGACAACAUCGCCAAAGCGUACGAGACAUGCUUCUACUUACGUUAACCUCGAAAGGAAGACCGGGGCGCACUGUUUCACACCCGCUCUUUGAGCAAGAAGAUGCAUCACGAUAAUCACUUCAGUAACCCGUUUGAAUUCUUACGACGCCAAUAUGCUCGAGCCUUCAAGGGUGUCGUCUCGGCAUCAUGAUCAAUGACUGACCCACACUUCACGUGCCCACUUGAGUUAUUUUGGCAUGUGGUGAUUAGAGCUUUGGAAACAAGUGAGAGAUCUUAAACCACGUGGGUCUAAGGAAAACAAAGAAAGAAGGUUGUAUAAAAUAAUCCAACUUGUGGCAGCGUGUGUAUAAAUCUCAACGAGUAGCUGCUGAGCCUCUUUGAGCUCACUUCAGCAGCGGCGCACGCAAAAACUCACUCACCUAACACUACUCAAGGAGCAAGAGGAGGAAGAAGAAGAAGAAGAAGAAGAAGAAGAAGAUGAGUACUCAACCACCAAACCCGCCACCGCCUCAGAAGCCCCAUCCAGCCCCAUCCUACGGCAACCAACCACCACCGAGAGGCAAUGUCAUCAAGAAAAUCAUCUUCGGCAAUAGCUGAAGCUGUUAUGAUCUUAAUCCUGGGGAGGAGUAAGUAGGUUUUCAAUUAAGUGAAUUACAUAACCUGUGUCCUAUCUUAUCAGAGGCCCCUCUGGCCCCAUCCUCCGGCAAUCAACCACCUCCGAGAGGCAGUGCAGUUAGGUUUUCGAUUAUGUUAAAUACAUAACCUCUAUCCUAUCUUAAGUGCUAUGUGUAAUCAGUAUACUAGAGUCGAGGUCGAUGUACCCAUUAUAAAGGGUACGCCAGGAUGACCCAGACCUAAGUGUUGUACAGACUUGGUGUUUUCGUGAUGUGAAAUGUAAACAAAAUCCUCCCCCAAAUUAAGCUUCUGAUGUUUUUACAGGGUAGGCAUAUUUCCAGAUAAUUCUCAUACCCGCAUGCGAUAAUGAAUAGAUCUCGGCUUCCUCUUGUGCUUUCGUAUCGUCCUGUCGGGCAUGUGCAGCACGCAUGUUCGUAUGUAUUUGCUUGUGCGCAGCGCGGGCAAGCGUGCUGAACAGGUAGAAUAAUC
This 27888-nucleotide long non-coding RNA is filed under the name Eucalyptus grandis. RNAcentral's name for it is "long non-coding RNA (EGRA_LNC005420)". The record is from RNAcentral. Lineage: Eukaryota; Viridiplantae; Streptophyta; Magnoliopsida; Myrtales; Myrtaceae.